RNAcentral lists this ribosomal RNA (484 nucleotides) under uncultured bacterium. RNAcentral's name for it is "partial 16S ribosomal RNA". It matches the Rfam family "Bacterial small subunit ribosomal RNA", at positions 30 to 507 of the family's 1533-position model. The record is from RNAcentral.
AUUGAACGCUGGCGGCAGGCCUAACACAUGCAAGUCGAGCGGAUGAAGGGAGCUUGCUCCUGGAUUCAGCGGCGGACGGGUGAGUAAUGCCUAGGAAUCUGCCUGGUAGUGGGGGAUAACGUCCGGAAACGGGCGCUAAUACCGCAUCCGUCCUGAGGGAGAAAGUGGGGGAUCUUCGGACCUCACGCUAUAAGAUGAGCCUAGGUCGGAUUAGCUAGUUGGUGGGGUAAAGGCCUACCAAGGCGACGAUCCGUAACUGGUCUGAGAGGAUGAUCAGUCACACUGGAACUGAGACACGGUCCAGACUCCUACGGGAGGCAGCAGUGGGGAAUAUUGGACAAUGGGCGAAAGCCUGAUCCAGCCAUGCCGCGUGUGUGAAGAAGGUCUUCGGAUUGUAAAGCACUUUAAGUUGGGAGGAAGGGCAGUAAGUUAAUACCUUGCUGUUUUGACGUUACCAACAGAAUAAGCACCGGCUAACUUCGUG